RNA transcript from Selaginella moellendorffii, 1985 nucleotides. It is a transcript of the gene named GTPase HflX, with no coding region annotated. The record is from RefSeq and is a predicted model, not a curated record. NCBI's taxonomy places the organism in Eukaryota, Viridiplantae, Streptophyta, Lycopodiopsida, Selaginellales, Selaginellaceae. The transcript has 14 exons.
UUGGCGAUAGCGUAUUGUGUUCCAGGUGUGGAUGAGCGAUGGCAGAAUGCCGGCUCCGGGAUGGGGAAGAAGGCGAAUUUUCUGGCCGCUGGUCGCACUGGAAUCGCCAGGAAGCGAUGCGGAUGUUUUUCGCUCAAGGCAAGAGCCGUGAUCCAGAUUGAUGAGGAGGAGCAGAGAAAUGGGGGCGAAUUUCCGCUUGUGGAGCUGCCAAUGCCGCCGCGAGAGGAGGAAGCUCCCGCGAGCUCUUCGCCAGGUCGGAGCAUUACGGUGUCGUCGUCUGUGACUGAUAGUGAGGAUUCCAGCGAUCGCUUUGUGAUUCGCAACAAUCGAGAGAUUUAUCAAGAGAAAGCGUUUCUCGUGGGAGUCGAGAUGAAAAGGCAUCGCGCAUUGUUUAGCAUCGAUGAGUCACUCAAGGAGCUCGAGCAGCUUGCCGACACAGCCGGACUGGCCGUGGUUGGAUCCACAUAUCAAAAGCUAGGUUAUCCAAAUCCGAGAACUUACAUGGCGUCUGGGAAAGUUGCGGAGGUGAAGACCGCUGUCCAGGCUCUAGACGUUGAGACGGUGAUCUUGGAUGACGAAAUAUCGCCGGGGCAGCUAAGAAACUUAGAAAAGGCAUUUGGUGAUGACGUUCGGGUUUGUGACCGCACAGCUCUGAUUCUCGACAUCUUUAGCCAGAGAGCAGCGACGCGUGAAGCGGCUUUGCAGGUAGAGCUGGCUCAACUUGAGUACCAGCUGCCGCGAUUGACAAAACUUUGGACUCACCUUGAAAGACAAGCAGGAGGUAUGGUGAAGGGUAUGGGAGAGAAGCAGAUUGAAGUUGAUAAACGUAUCCUUAGAACAAAGAUUGCCGAGCUGAGGAAGAAUCUCGAGUCGGUACGUGACCACAGGCAACAGUAUAGAAACCGGAGAGCAUCGGUUCCUAUCCCUGUUAUUUCUCUGGUUGGCUAUACAAAUGCUGGCAAGAGCACACUUUUGAACAAGCUUAGUAAUGCUGGUGUUCUAGCAGAAGAUAAACUUUUUGCCACACUAGAUCCUAUUACGAGACGUGUACAGCUUCCGAAUGGAAAGGAAUGUUUGUUUACAGAUACUGUGGGUUUUAUCCAAAAGCUUCCGACACAACUUGUUGCCGCAUUUCGUGCAACGUUAGAAGAGAUCAGCGAUUCGUCUUUGAUCCUACAUGUUGUAGAUAGAAGUCAUUCAAUGGCACCUGAACAAACAAAAGCUGUUGACGAAGUUCUUGCUGAGCUAGAUGUUCAACACAUUCCUCGACUUUCAGUGUGGAAUAAGAUUGACAAAGCUGAGGAUCCAGAUGCCUUGAGAGCGGAAGCCAAACAACAAGGUGCAAUCUGCGUAUCAGCCUUAACCGGAGAAGGCAUUCAAGAAUUUUUUGACGCUGUGGAAACAAAACUCAAGGAUUUACUUGUGCGAGUGGAAGCCAUUGUCCCGUAUAGCAAGGGGGAUCUCGUGGACAUGAUCCACAGGCGUGGUGUUGUGGAACAUGAGGAGUACACAGAUUCAGGAACACUAGUGAGAGCUCAUGUUCCUCUUGCCCUGUCCAAACAGCUGCUCGAGUACCGUGAUCAGGUCCCUUUUAUGUAGUUUCAAGUGAAGCCAGUGUCUAAUAUGUACAGAUGCUUCAAACUUUACAUUUUAAAUCCAGAGCUCUUGGCAAACGAAGUGAUGGAUUUCGAAGUCGCUACUCUUUGCUGCCAUUCAGGAAAGCCGCUUGCCAAAGGUAGUGCCAAGCGCUGUGCCUGGCUUUUGCGAAUAACUUUGUCAACAGAUUUUCCGACUACGCUGGAGCUGCUCACGUCUACAGGAGGUACGGUUCUCCAAACACCAAGGAAGUAGGGGACGCAAUUGCAGCGCUGGAGGGCGGUGAUUCAGGUAGAUUUUCCAGUUUAGUAACGUUGCGGACAUUCCAGCGAUUUCAAAGUUGUACAAGAAAUAUGGAUGCGUUCUUGUCGUGGACAAUACUUUUGGUA